RNAcentral lists this ribosomal RNA (492 nucleotides) under uncultured bacterium. RNAcentral describes it as "partial 16S ribosomal RNA". It matches the Rfam family "Bacterial small subunit ribosomal RNA", at positions 29 to 507 of the family's 1533-position model. The record is from RNAcentral.
AGUGAACGCUGGCGGUAGGCCUAACACAUGCAAGUCGAACGGCAGCACAGUAAGAUCUUGCUCUUACGGGUGGCGAGUGGCGGACGGGUGAGGAAUACAUCGGAAUCUACUUUUUCGUGGGGGAUAACGUAGGGAAACUUACGCUAAUACCGCAUACGACCUACGGGUGAAAGCAGGGGAUCUUCGGACCUUGGGCGAUUGAAUGAGCCGAUGUCGGAUUAGCUAGUUGGCGUGGUAAAGGCCCACCAAGGCGACGAUCCGUAGCUGGUCUGAGAGGAUGAUCAGCCACACUGGAACUGAGACACGGUCCAGACUCCUACGGGAGGCAGCAGUGGGGAAUAUUGGACAAUGGGCGCAAGCCUGAUCCAGCCAUACCGCGUGGGUGAAGAAGGCCUUCGGGUUGUAAAGCCCUUUUGUUAGGAAAGAAAAGCAGCAGGUUAAUACCCCGCUGUUCUGACGGUACCCAAAGAAUAAGCACCGGCUAACUUCGUG